GGGCUUCUCGGAGUUUCCGCCUGAUUGGCUGGUUCUCUGUCAGGAGAGCUGCCCUCCCUUCCAUUCCUGUCCAGGAACUCUCCAAGCUUUGCACUGUGGUGAGAUGAUGUCACAAAGCUACCAUUAUGACAACAGAAGCAGCAAGAUCAGCACAGUGUUGUGCUGGAGAUGAAAGUACAGUACUUGUGAAGCAAUUCACAUGAGAAGCUGAAGGUCUGGUUUGGGACACACUCUUAUGAAUAUGGAGGAAAUUGAAGGAAAGAGGAAGAGAUGACAAGACUCUAAACAGGUUGACAGGAACUAGGACUGACAGAUGGGAGCUCACACCAUCUUGUGAACUUCCAACCUUCAGGUCAGCAGUUCAACAAUACAAGGUAUUAACCCAUUACACCACCGCAGCCCUAUGUUUGUUGGAAAGUGAGGCUUCCCAGGCCUUAUGGGGAAUGGGUAGGAUCAGAGAAACAUUUUUAU
This is a long non-coding RNA of Anolis sagrei ordinatus, 471 nucleotides long. RefSeq lists it as uncharacterized. The record is from RefSeq and is a predicted model, not a curated record. Lineage: Eukaryota; Metazoa; Chordata; Lepidosauria; Squamata; Anolidae.